GAGAGACAAUGAGGAGAAGGAAGCAGUACACAGGUGUCUAGAGUAACAGAGAUCCCAUGAUACUCAGUUGGCUGACUAGGGACUCCAGAAUUUAAUUUUCUUUUUAAUCUAUUCAGAUUUUCCCAGACGUGCAGGAGUCAAACUCAGUAGAAGACAAAUAUGAGUCUUUCUUUUGGAUCUUAUCUACACAAUCCAACCACCCAGCAAAGAACAUCAGAGGAUGCUUGCAUAGAUGUUUCUGUCAUUGCAAUAGAAUGCCACCAGUAAGAGACCUGCAGCACUGGCAAGGGAGGAGCCAGUUCCCAUGGCGCUGCUUGACCUAUUAAAGCUGCUGAGAGGAGCUGAUACAUCAGUGAACACCCACAGAACGACCAUCCCUCUGUUACCAGGUGCCUUCCUGAAGAGUGCAGCAUGACAGAGCUCCACGAAGCUGUGGCUGUGGGCGACUAUGACUGGGUGAAAGAGAUUUUGAAGGCAGGGCGCUGUGAC
RNAcentral lists this long non-coding RNA (489 nucleotides) under Lonchura striata (white-rumped munia). RNAcentral describes it as "domestica (Bengalese finch) lncRNA (ENSLSDG00000002362.1)". The record is from RNAcentral. Lineage: Eukaryota; Metazoa; Chordata; Aves; Passeriformes; Estrildidae.